GUCCUUCGUUCUCAUUUCACUUUCGCACCGCUUCAUCGUCGACAUUGUUCCCUUCUCUCUGUCUCAAUGAUCUUCUAUCUCACUGAAAAAGGCAAUGUUGUUCGAUAUUUUGACAUGGAUUCUAAUGAAUGCAUAUCUCAAUCUGAUCCCAAAGUUUCAAUCUUUCUUGAAUCAUCAUGUCAUCACGGACGCGCCCCUCAUCCUCCAGAUCCAAGUUUCACACAAUUAUAAACAAGAUGACCCAGAUGAAUCACCUACAUAGGUUCUUCGAUGUGUUAUUCUCUGCCUCAUCCUACACAACCUGUUUUUCCUUUCCUUUUUGUCGGACUGGGCAUGGCAAAUUGGCAAGCAAUCACCUCCUUACUCUUAGCCAUAGGUAAUCACAUGAAUAGUCUUGGAGGUUUGUGUGUCUUGGAGGUAAUCACAAAUUGGCAAACAAGAGUUUUACAUUGUAUAAUCUAUUCCAUAUAAUCAGUUGCAUAGUUGUGUCUCAGGUUUUUGGUGUGUUAGAUGGUCGAAUGUUUAGUAACUAUGACUAUUCAGAGGUUUAGAUGAAAAGAAAUUUAGAAAAAUAAAUGCAGAAGGAUAGAGAGGAGAUGAGAGAAACGAAACAAAAGGAGAUACCAUGUUA
Molecule: long non-coding RNA, 631 nt
Organism: Rosa chinensis
Lineage: Eukaryota; Viridiplantae; Streptophyta; Magnoliopsida; Rosales; Rosaceae
Exons: 3
Source: RefSeq, a predicted model, not a curated record